GGUGCUAAAGCUGCGAUCCCUGGAGACUAGCCCCCAGGAAACCACUGUGGGUGUGUGCAGUACCAGAGGGUCAGGAGUAAGUAAGUGUUCCGCGUAGAAACAUCCCAGCCAUGCAUCAAGGGAGACAGAAUCUUCCAGAACUCAAACCUCAAGAGCACUGAGGACCUCAGCGGUAACAACAAACCUCCUCCUUCUCAUCACGGACGAACUGAGCCCUUGCAUUCGUCUCCCUGGAUCGCUUACAACAAUCACAGAGACAGGCUAUCGACUCCAUGCUACAGAUAGGGCCUGCAGUCAGACCCUUCUCACACGAGCUCCCAGUGUCAGAGCUUCAAGUGGAAGGGAUGGCAAGGCCAUUUUCAUCUGAGGCUGUACCUCUCUGAAGGACCUACGGAGGAGGAACCGCAUCAACUCUGGAGUGCAGACUCUUGGGGACUAUGGAAACGAUGCUAGGCAAAAAGCAAAUUUGAGCGAUUUCCUUAUUGGAGUUCAAAACGGAUUGUAAAGCAGCAGAGACAACUUGCAACAUCAACAAUACAUUUGGCCCAGGAACUGCUAAUGAACGUAUGGUGCAGUGGUGGUUCAGGAAGUUUUGCAAAGGAGACGAGCACCUUGAAGAUGAGUGUAAUGGCCGGCCAUCAGAAGUUGACAACAACCAACUGAGAGCCAUCAUCGAAGCUGAUUCUCUUACAACUACACAAGAAGUUGCCAAAAAACUCAGUGUUGACUAUCAUGGUCAUUCAGCCUUUGAAGCAAAUUAGAGAGGUGAAAACGUUUGAUAAGUGGGUGCCUCAUGAGCUGACCAAAAAUCAAAAAAAUCGUUUUGAAGUGUCGUAUUCUUACUAGAUGCAACAACAGCAAACCGUUUCUUGAUUGGAUUAUGACAUGUGACAAAAAUGGGAUUUUAUACAAUAACCAGCUCAGUGGUUGAACCAAGAAACUCCAAAGCACUUCUCAAAGCCAAACUUGCACCAAAAAAAGGUCAUGGUCACUGUUUGGUCAUUUGCUGCUGGUCUGAUCCAUGAAAGCUUUCUGAAUCCCAGUGAAACCAUUACAUCUGAGAAGUAUGCUCAGCACAUUGAUGAGAUGCACGGAGAAGGGAAUGGCUAUACCCACUCCAGUAUUCUUGCCUGAGGAAUUCUAUGGACAGAGGAGUCUGGUGGGCUACAGUCCAUGGGGUCGCAAAGAGCGGAUACAACUGAGCAACUUUUACUCACUCUUUCACAGAAAACUGCAACACCUGCGACCAGCAGUGGUCAACAGAAAGGGGCCGAUUUUUCUCCACAACAACCCCUAACCACACGUCACACAACCGAUGCUUCAAAAAUUGAACAAACUGGGCUAUGAAGUUUUGUCUCACCUGCCAUAUUCACCUGACCUCUUGCCAACCGACCACUACUUUCUUCAAGCAUCUCGAGAACUUUUUGAAGGAAAAACUCUUCUGCAGCCAGCAGGAGGCAGAAGACGCUUUCCAAAAUUUCCCUGAAUCCGAAACACGAAUUUUUAAGCUAUAGGGAUGAACAAACUUAUUUCUCGUUGGCAAAAAUGUGUUGAUUGUAAUCGUUCUUAUUUCGAUUUAAAAAGAUGUGUUUCAGCCUAUUUAUAAGGCUGAAUUGAUUUAGAAGGCUGAAUUUAAAUUGAUUUAAAAUUUAAAAUUCAACAUCCGAAACCACAAUUACAUUUGCACCAACCUAAUACAAACGCACAAACUUCACACAGAUGGCGGUAUUAUACCUAGUACCACAUUUUUUUUUUUGGCAGGGGGAAGAAGGAUAGUCCAGGAAGUCCCAGUCAAUGAUAACAAAACAUUGAGCAAUACUUUUAAAGUCUUCAAUUGGGUCUCCCUCCUGAAAGACUGAGAGUCACAGAGACAGACAACUGCCUCCUGACAUUUAAAUGAAGCAUUGCUGGACAGUUGCUUUUUAAACAUCUAUAAAGCUUACCCUCGGAUUUAAUAAAGAUCAAUACAUUUCUGUAAAAAAAAAAUACAUGAAAUAAGUUUACACUUCACUAAACAUUCAAAUAAAACCAAGAAAUAGCUAUAUCCAUGCUGGAACAUUGAGUAUUACCAAAAUUAUGAAGAAUGUAAGGUCAUGAUAAUCCCAGAAAAAUUUCGUACAAAUGAAGAAUGCAGAUUCUGCCUUAUGCUAUCUCAGGUUUAGAGCUAAGAAGGCUUCCUAGUCUCUUAAGCCUUUGAUCUAUUUUAGGAUCUCUGACCCUUUAUUCCUGGGAGUUAAUGACACUUCUGAGUACUGCUGCUGCUGCUAAGUUGCUUCAGUCGUGUCCGACUCUGUGUGACCCCAGAGACGGUAGCCCACCAGGCUCCCCCAUCCCUGGGAUUCUCCAGGCAAGAACACUGGAGUGGGUUGCCAUUUCCUUCUCCAAUGCCUGAAAGUGAAAAGUGAAAGGGAAGUCACUCAGUCUUGUCCAACUCUUUGCGACCCCACAGACUGCAGCCUACCAGGCUUCUCUGUCCAUGGGAUUUUCCAGGCAAGAGUACCGGAUUGGGUUGCCAUUGCCUUUUCCGAAACAAUUAUGUCUCGAUGCCAACCUAGUGACACAUUUAAUGUGCUAGUUUGUGGUGGAAGGGGUAAAUCUCAUUGACAGUUUUUCAUAAAGGGGAUUCCCUGCUGGCUCAGCAGUGAGAAUCUGCCUGCCAAAGCCAGUGACAUAGGUUCAAUCCCUGGGUCGGGAAGAUCCCCU
Molecule: long non-coding RNA, 2703 nt
Organism: Bos taurus (domestic cattle)
Lineage: Eukaryota; Metazoa; Chordata; Mammalia; Artiodactyla; Bovidae
Source: Ensembl